UUAACUCAAAUUUGUAUGGACUUGUAAUGUUUGCCUACGUUUGCCGCUAGGGGCGCUAUUCCAACUGCAAACAAAUUUGAGUUA
Molecule: non-coding RNA, 84 nt
Organism: Bombyx mori (domestic silkworm)
Lineage: Eukaryota; Metazoa; Arthropoda; Insecta; Lepidoptera; Bombycidae
Source: Rfam